GUCUUAAUAAAUAAUUCUUUACAUAUAUCCUCAAAGGCAAUGAAAUGAAAACGAUGACACAAAUACUAACUAGUAAACAUUGUAAAGCCUAUACGGAAUAAGCAAAAGGAAACGCUUGCAUGUAUAAAAAUACGCCAACUACGGUAUUUACGCUUUGCAUGUAUAAAAAAAAUAAUUGCUUCGACAUUAAUAUCACAAAUUAGAAUUUGAAAUUAUCCUAAGAUUCAAUUAUAAGGGCCAAAAUAGUUUUCAUAUGUC
Molecule: long non-coding RNA, 258 nt
Filed under: Capsella grandiflora
Lineage: Eukaryota; Viridiplantae; Streptophyta; Magnoliopsida; Brassicales; Brassicaceae
Description: long non-coding RNA (CGRA_LNC000562)
Source: RNAcentral